This 222-nucleotide non-coding RNA is filed under the name Neolecta irregularis DAH-3. Its description in RNAcentral is "Bacterial small subunit ribosomal RNA". It matches the Rfam family "Bacterial small subunit ribosomal RNA", at positions 648 to 870 of the family's 1533-position model. The record is from Rfam by way of RNAcentral. Lineage: Eukaryota; Fungi; Ascomycota; Neolectomycetes; Neolectales; Neolectaceae.
CUGAUGGGAGAAUGAGGAAUCUUAAGUGUUAGGAAUGAAAUCUGUUGAUCCUUUAGAGACCGCAAAAGGCGAAGGCAUCAUUCUAUGUAAAGACUGACGCUGAGGGACGUAAGCGUAGGGCGCGGAAAGGGAUUAGAUACCCUUGUAGUCUACGCCGUAAACGAUGAGUGGUUAUAAGUUAGAAUUCAGUUUUUGGCUUAGUAAUGAAAGUGUAAUCACUCC